AACCCUACCGUGAACAUUACCUCAUAUCAGACAGGGUAUCGAGGAAAGAUAUUUUUCGUGCUCAUACUGGACGGGGUGUAGGGACGUCCCGAUUCACCCUCACACUGAAAUAGGUAUUGAGGGAUGGUACUUUUGGCUCUCAUAUCGGACUGGAUAUGGGAACGAUCGGUUAGUUGACAAGUUUUGUUAUGGGUUCAUGCGUAGUGGGACAUCCCUAUAGACCCCCAGGGACACCAGUAGGUAAAUAAAAAGGAGAAAGUU
This 261-nucleotide long non-coding RNA is filed under the name Carica papaya (papaya). RNAcentral describes it as "long non-coding RNA (CPAP_LNC011172)". Lineage: Eukaryota; Viridiplantae; Streptophyta; Magnoliopsida; Brassicales; Caricaceae. The record is from RNAcentral.